This 1487-nucleotide long non-coding RNA is filed under the name Mus musculus (house mouse). RNAcentral's name for it is "long non-coding RNA chr4:5734263-5735750". Lineage: Eukaryota; Metazoa; Chordata; Mammalia; Rodentia; Muridae. The record is from RNAcentral.
AAAAGUGUGACAGAAAGCCUGACAGUGCUUCAGGUUGUAUCCCCUUGUCUUUGGGAAGGUCUUCUUUGUCAGUGAAGGAGACACCACUGUUUCUAUGCCUGUCCUUUAGCUAACAUAUUCUCCAAGUUUCCCUGUCUUGAAAUGUCGUGUGUUAAUUGUCAGCUUGACAGAAUCUAGAAUCACUUGGCAGGUGGGCAUCUGGCCAUGACUGUAGGGAUUUUCUUCAUUAGGAUAAUUUAUGAGGAAAGACCCACCUUAACUGUGAGGUCAUUCCCUGGGUGAGGGACAGUGGAUGGUAUAAAGUGGACAAGGUCAGCUAUCAUGCCUCAUAGCUGUCUGUCCCUGAUUGUAGACACUAUAUAACAAGAUGCCAGCUCCUGUUGCUUUGAUUCCCCCAACAGGAUAGGCAGAAGAAAUCCUUUUGCUUUAAAUUGUUUCAUCAGAGUAUUUUAUCAAAACAGCACUAAAAGGAACGAAGACAAUGGACCUAAUUCUGUAUGACACAUCCAAUGCUAAGUUCUCAGACAAACAACGUUCCCUAUGACAGGCAGUGAGCAAACCUUCAGAGAGCAAGCCUCAUUGAGUGUCUGAUCUUAAUAUGUUGCUCCUUCAUACAUCAGGUGCUAUAGACCCUUCUCUGAGGCAGCCUGUGCUCUCACCAUCUUUCCUUCCCAGAAAAUUCUGUUACUGACUUAGCCCAUCCCAGUUUCCUGCUUUCCAGUUAUCAAUUGGAAAUUUUUAUUGUCUUACUCCCCUAGUCAUAACUCAUUUAAUAGUUACCUGUGUCUUAAUACAUUUAUAUUACAUAACCAUCACUUAUCUAGUAUCUCCAGUCUUGUCUUGUCUGAAGUCACCACUGCUCUUCUCUGCAUUACCUGGCUCACUACAGUUAGGGGUGGCUUCUUGAUUCCUGCUUCCUCUUCCCCACUCGUGAGUGUGUGUGUGUGUGUGUGUGUGUGUGUUUAUAUGUAUGUGUGCACAUGCACAUGUCCCUGUGAGUUAUCAGAAUCCAAGAGUAUUUAACCAUCUAACAAAUCUGUAAUUCAUACAAUAAAUGUCUUUCCAACUUAACAUAAAACACCUGUGACAGGCUACUUAUAAAGUAGAGAGAAGUCUAUUUACAUUACGGUUUUAGAAGACCAAAGACAUAGUACCUAUAUCUAUUCUGCUCAUGUAAGAGUAUGAAUUACAGAAUCCGUCACAUCUCAAGUCAAAAUGAUAAGGAUCAUUUAAUCUCCAAGGUUAGAACCCUGUGACCUAAAUAAAGUCAGCCUACCAAAGGUCCCAAGCACUUCACAGGAGUGCCACUCUAGAGUCAGCCUUCAUAAACGGGCCUCUGGGAUGUGCAGUUAGCACUCUAGGCUACAGUACUGUGUGUAUACAAGCGGUGCUGAAAUUAGUACUGAUUUUUAGCAAUUUUAUGCUUCAUUUCAAACUAUAUGAUAAAAUCAUUGCAACUUUUCCAUUAAAACCACAAAUAUCAGCUC